AACUAUUAACCACAUCAAUUAAUUUAAAAUAAAAAUAAUACAAUAUACUCCAUACUAGUUCAAUACAAAAAUCGGUUCAUUAGUAACGAUCCCUAGAUUUAAAUUACAACACAUUUAGAUAUAUGACUACAUGCUUAAAGAAAAUUUGUUAUCUCCACCGAACACCCCAUAUGGUUUUAGGCUCUUUCACUUGUCACCAACUAUUAAAAAGGGCCUUUGAAUUACAAAGUCAGCUAUAGAGCUGCUUUGCAAAUCAAUAUCUUUUAUUCCAAACCAAUAGAUCUCAAAUUUUCCCUUUUUCUUGUUCUAACUCCACAUACAAAUCAAGAAAAUAAGAAAACUUUGGUGAAGAGUAGUUUAUUAGCAUCAUAUAUUUGAAAGAAUAAAGAGAAAACAGUAGGCAACAACAAUGAAAAGGGAUCAGAUCUAUUAUAGCUCAUGAUGCAAAGCCAAGUAUAAGCAGAACAGAAAUAGCAAAGGCCAUAACAUGGAACAAGACUUGAAAACUAAAUAUGAUGGUAUACAGAUCAAUCAAUAUAGUCUUCUAAAAUACUCAGCAACUAAAGAAGGCAAGCUUUAUAACAUUAUGAACAAGCAUAUACACUAUGGAAACAUUUAUCAACUCAGAAAAAUAAGAUGUAGCUUUGAGAGACAAUUUCAAAGAAGAAGAAACUUAGUAAAAGACAUAUAAUUCAUCAGGGACACCAGUUCACAUUUUCAUUCAUAUAUAUCCAAAGAGAGCUACAGAUAAGAUAUAAAUAUACCUACUGUAAUAAACAAGAGCUGAGACUAAAUAAGGGUCUAGUGGCCAAUAGGAAAUCCAAUAACAAACCUAGAAAAAGAAGCAAUCAUCAGGCAAUUAAACAACAGGAAUGAAGAAACUCCAACACCAGAAAACUAGUUUCAGUUCAAGAUCCAGCUUAGAUAAACCAAAGUUUUUAAGAGAAAUCAGAAAUUCUGAACCUUUUCAGUAAAUGCAAAAGAUUUUUGUGAGUCAAAACCAAUCUCAAAAUGAGUGUUCAUUAAGAGAAUGUUUUCUAUGUAUUCAAAAUAUUUCUUGGGGUCAGUAUGCUGAUGAAUGUGUGUGAUAAUGAGUGAAGGUCUUUUUCUUUCAUAGAGUGUACAAAAACAACAUAAAAAGGAAUAUUCUAUCCUAAAAUUCUGAAAUAUUAGAAAGCACAACAUAUAUUAACAGUUGCAUGUCCUUUUUUAACCUAAUUUCAGCAUUUUCAUGCUAAGAAUGGGGACGACUGUUCAAUAUUAGAAAUUUCUGAUAUUUUCUCAUUUUAAAAUAAUAAUUUUACCCUUUUAAAUUUUGCUUAUUACAAUUUUAAAAACAAUCUGACCUAAAUUCAAAUUGUUUGACUACCGAUUAACCCUUUCUAGAAGCUUCUGAUAUCAAACCUCUAUUUUAUUUCCCUAUUAGCCCCUUUUAUGUUCUUGUUAUUACCUUUUCAACCUUUUAAUUUUUAGUUGUUAUCAGCUAAGGUUUCUAUUGAAUCUGAAUAGCAGACAAGGACACAUAUCAGACCUCAUACCAAGCAAAUUAAGACUGAACGACACAUCAUGUGAUUACAACACUAGGGUUAAUUAAACAACAACUUAUAAUCUAAAUUACUAACAUAUAUUAUAAGUAAUCUAAAUACAGAAACUAAUUUAGUUAAGUUGGUUCAACUGGACAAAACAAAGAGAGGUUAACUAAAUAACAAUGUUGUUAACUAGAGAAUUAUGCAGUUAAUCUAAACUAAACCUUAUUUUAUGUUGUAGUAAAGAGAAAAAGCUAACAAAAAUAAAGAUAAAACUUGAAACCUAAAAUUGUAAUGCAGAUUUAAUAAUGCAUGAGAGAAAAAUAGAAAAGAAAAGGGAAAGAAGAAAACACGAUUGAGUUUACUGGAAAUUAAGUUGGCAACCGAGGUGGCCGAUGAGCUAUGCAAGCAUCAGAGCUUGGCUGGCAAAAAUGUAUGUGGUCGGAGUUCGGCAAGUCUUGAAAUAAAUCAAAACUAACGCUAAUCAAUUGUUCUUAUCAAGAACAAUUGAUUGGCAUAAAAUUUUGCUCAAAUUGAGCCUUUGAAACCGUAAAAAUAAAAAUAAAAAAGGUACGGGAUAGGGUUUUGGCUUUCUUUCAGAAUUUUUGAUCUGAAAAUGAAGGAAAUUGGAAAAAGAUUUUGGAGAAAUCAGUGGUAGAUAUGAGAUAAAGAGGUUAUGGUUGUUGUCUCGUAUUAAUUUGGAUGGGAUUGGAAGUUUUUAGGGCGGUGCCGCCAGAAGGCGAUUUCCUGCGGCUAGGGUUCUUUGGAGAUGUGUGAGAUAAAAGAUUGAAG
RNAcentral lists this long non-coding RNA (2318 nucleotides) under Nicotiana benthamiana. RNAcentral's name for it is "long non-coding RNA (NBEN_LNC024085)". The record is from RNAcentral. Lineage: Eukaryota; Viridiplantae; Streptophyta; Magnoliopsida; Solanales; Solanaceae.